Molecule: long non-coding RNA, 869 nt
Organism: Aethalodelphis obliquidens (Pacific white-sided dolphin)
Lineage: Eukaryota; Metazoa; Chordata; Mammalia; Artiodactyla; Delphinidae
Exons: 3
Source: RefSeq, a predicted model, not a curated record
AGGAGCUGGGAGGCGCUGGGGGAGGCUGUGGCUUGAGAGGCCCCAGGCCAGCCUUGGUUCCAUCUCUGCUUGAACCCAGAAGGCCCAGGUUCGGGAGCCUCUGUCUGCACCGCGGCUGGGCAGCCCAGGUCAGCAUAGCACUGGCUUCCGGCUCUCCCAGCCUGAGAGUCCUGGGGCCACUCUUGAUCUUGACGCCACGUCCAGGAGCCAGCACCCUCCUCCAGACCUGCCUUUUCCAGUAGGCUCCACCUCUGUCAGGUGGCUCGGCAAAGAGAUUAAAUAACCAACCAGGAUCAGCCGGCCUUCCCAGGAAGGUAGCUGAAGGCGUGGGCUCCGUCAGAGGAAUGGAGUCUAACGGCUUCCUCAUCUUUACGCACACCCAAGCCAAGGACUUCAGUAUCGUCAACUCCUUCUGCUUUUGAUUUCAUGCCCCCAGCACCGCGCAGCCAUGAAAUCCCAUCAAUUCUGCCUGUGGAAGUACCUCUCAGAUCCAUCUAUUCACUUAAACAACGAUUAACCCACCCAAUGACAGGGCUCCAGGCAACUCUCUCAUUUGCUGCUCAGUGUAAUUCAGUGUAAUUUUCUGGAGGGGAAUUUGGAAAUGUAUUUCAAUAAUCUUUAAAAUAGGUCUAUUGAUACUUUUGACUCAGCGGUUGCACCCUAUGAAUAAGGGGGUGGUGGUAAAAGAUAAGAACAAAGACAUUUUUAGAAAGCAAGAACAUGUACAACGACAUGUUUUAAAAUAAUAUUUAAUAAGAUGGAGUGUUGCUUAAGAUAUAAUGUUAAAUAAGAAAUGAUAUGAAACAUAUUUGUACACAGUAUGAUUCUAAUGUCAUUAAAAUAUAUGUCAGAUUCAGUGAUUAUGCAAA